RNAcentral lists this ribosomal RNA (731 nucleotides) under uncultured Bacillota bacterium. Its description in RNAcentral is "bacterial SSU rRNA". It matches the Rfam family "Bacterial small subunit ribosomal RNA", at positions 202 to 918 of the family's 1533-position model. The record is from RNAcentral. Lineage: Bacteria; Bacillati; Bacillota.
GAAAGGCGGCUUCGGCUGUCACUUAUGGAUGGACCCGCGUCGCAUUAGCUAGUUGGUGAGGUAACGGCUCACCAAGGCAACGAUGCGUAGCCGACCUGAGAGGGUGAUCGGCCACACUGGGACUGAGACACGGCCCAGGCUCUUACGGGAGGCAGCAGUAGGGAAUCUUCCGCAAUGGACGAAAGUCUGACGGAGCAACGCCGCGUGAGUGAUGAAGGCUUUCGGGUCGUAAAACUCUGUUGUUAGGGAAGAACAAGUGCUAGUUGAAUAAGCUGGCACCUUGACGGUACCUAACCAGAAAGCCACGGCUAACUACGUGCCAGCAGCCGCGGUAAUACGUAGGUGGCAAGCGUUAUCCGGAAUUAUUGGGCGUAAAGCGCGCGCAGGUGGUUUCUUAAGUCUGAUGUGAAAGCCCACGGCUCAACCGUGGAGGGUCAUUGGAAACUGGGAGACUUGAGUGCAGAAGAGGAAAGGGGAAUUCCAUGUGUAGCGGUGAAAUGCGUAGAGAUAUGGAGGAACACCAGUGGCGAAGGCGACUUUCUGGUCUGUAACUGACACUGAGGCGCGAAAGCGUGGGGAGCAAACAGGAUUAGAUACCCUGGUAGUCCACGCCGUAAACGAUGAGUGCUAAGUGUUAGAGGGUUUCCGCCCUUUAGUGCUGAAGUUAACGCAUUAAGCACUCCGCCUGGGGAGUACGGCCGCAAGGCUGAAACUCAAAUGAAUUGACGGGG